This 562-nucleotide ribosomal RNA is filed under the name uncultured bacterium. RNAcentral's name for it is "bacterial SSU rRNA". It matches the Rfam family "Bacterial small subunit ribosomal RNA", at positions 338 to 916 of the family's 1533-position model. The record is from RNAcentral.
CCUACGGGAGGCAGCAGUUAGGAAUUUUGGGCAAUGGGCGAAAGCCUGACCCAGCAACGCCGCGUGGGUGACGAAGGCCUUCGGGUUGUAAAGCCCUUUUCUGAGGGAAGAUGAUGACGGUACCUCAGGAAUAAGCACCGGCUAACUACGUGCCAGCAGCCGCGGUAAUACGUAGGGUGCAAGCGUUGCCCGGAUUUAUUGGGCGUAAAGGGCGCGCAGGCGGCUACGCACGUCCGUUGUGAAAUCGCUCGGCUCAACUGGGCGGGGUCAGCGGAUACGGCGUAGCUGGAGCAAGCUAGGGGGCAAUGGAAUUCCCGGUGUAGUGGUGGAAUGCGUAGAUAUCGGGAGGAACACCAGUGGCGAAGGCGGUUGCCUGGAGCUUUGCUGACGCUGAGGCGCGAAAGCGUGGGGAGCGAUCCGGAUUAGAUACCCGGGUAGUCCACGCCGUAAACGAUGUCGACUAGGUGUCGGGGGUAUCGACCCCCUCGGCGCCGCAGCUAACGCAUUAAGUCGACCGCCUGGGGACUACGGCCGCAAGGCUAAAACUCAAAGGAAUUGACGG